This is a non-coding RNA of Taeniopygia guttata (zebra finch), 577 nucleotides long. Lineage: Eukaryota; Metazoa; Chordata; Aves; Passeriformes; Estrildidae. The record is from the annotation of a RefSeq genome assembly.
AGUGACAGAGGCCAGGCAGGGCAGGUGUGGGCAGAGCUGCUGUGCAGGCAGAGAGAAGGUGGAGAGAGGCCACCCAGAGCGGGCCUGGCCAUGUGGAGUGCCCUGUGCGUGGGCUUCUUGCCCAUUGUAGCAGUCACUGGCCAGGUGGCCUUGGAGCAGCAGCCCAGGGAAGUGACCGUGCAAGAAGGACUUGAAGUCACCUUGCAGUGCUCCCUUAAGGGAGGUGAUAUGAGCAGCUAUGACAUGUACUGGUUCCGUCAGGGCCCUCACGGCAUGCAGUAUAUAUCCAUGGGUGGUUAUUACUAUGGAGAAGGUUUCGAAGGUCGCUUUAUUGGAAAAAAGGAGAACUCCAAGAACAACUUCACACUGCAGAUCCUGGCAGCAGAGCAAGGCGACCCAGCAACGUAUUACUGUGGAGCAACCACACCCUGGAGCCACUCUGCAGCUGAGUGAGCCAAAAACCAACAGAGAAGCAAGACAAACGUCCCAGCAUUUCCUCCUAAAAGCUGCACCCCAGAGCUCCUGUCAGGCAAUGGCAGGUGCAGGAAACAUCCCUCUGGCUUGGUGGCACUAGAAG